This 29-nucleotide non-coding RNA is filed under the name Mus musculus (house mouse). The record is from RNAcentral. Lineage: Eukaryota; Metazoa; Chordata; Mammalia; Rodentia; Muridae.
UAAGACCACUGAUUGCCUUCCAAAGGACA